Molecule: long non-coding RNA, 1027 nt
Organism: Schistocerca nitens (vagrant locust)
Lineage: Eukaryota; Metazoa; Arthropoda; Insecta; Orthoptera; Acrididae
Exons: 3
Source: RefSeq, a predicted model, not a curated record
GUCGAUAAUAUUGAGCUGAAACGCUGUUUCGCUUUAAACAUAAAAAUUUAUUGAAGUUAACUGCGUAAAGGUCUCACCAGUGACCAUCUCUCCAAGCGUUUAUCACAUUUCUGAAAAAUGUUUUACACUUUUGUUCGGACAAAAAUCCAUAGUUAUUGAUACGCUCGGCCCGGGGCCGCUAACAGGCGAAUACACCUCCUGCAGCCAGCUGACAGGAAGGUUGUGCGGGCUGGAAGUACUCCGACGACAGCGACAACGGAAAAGCCGAUCUCUCAGUAUCGCGCGUAACAGCAUAAAAUGUCAAAAUUGUAAUCUGGAGAGCAGCCCGUCAUUCGUAGUAUUUACACAGUAAUACCGUCGAUAUUAGUGCUUGCGGGAAAUAAGAAGCAGAGCGUGUAAGUUCGUCUGCGAGUCGUCUUCGAAGUCUCCUUGGAGAUCCCUUGUACAUACCGACAUCUAUCAGAAAAUGUUUUUUCAAAACCCAGAACAGAAGAGGAACAGUGUUAACAACAACUCUGGACAAACAGCAACAAUUGCCAUCGAUGCUGACAGACGUUGUGGAAACGCGUGUGACAUCGCAGAGGAUGUGGAUUUAAUAACUAGAUUCUGUAUGCCAGUUUGUUCGCGUGACACGCACACUCGAGAACUUGCUUUGGACGUGAUCGAGAAAACGGUAGAAGGGUGGCUGGAUGGAUAUGGUAGUCCAAGACACACAAGGAUGUCACUGAUACCACCUAGUCAUAGACUGGAGAAUUUCAGUACAAAUGGUCACUGCUACACCGAUACAGUUUCAUCAGGAGACGGCAUCAGAAGCGUUCCGAAAGAAUAUUUAUCUCUUGUUACGUUACAUCUUCCUGCCUUACUGCGACUGUCCGUAAACUGCCCGUUUCUUGACGUGCGGGAUAAAUGCAAGCGAGUACUCAAGCUUGUACAGCUUUGCGUUGGACGCCAGUGAUGCAGCGAAGGAGCAGCCAGUUAACACAGUUAGGCCAUUGCUCUCAUCAGACGCAGAGGCCACGUGCUCAGC